UAGUUAAAAGAACCAAGGUUCAGGUGGGA
Molecule: non-coding RNA, 29 nt
Filed under: Rattus norvegicus (Norway rat)
Lineage: Eukaryota; Metazoa; Chordata; Mammalia; Rodentia; Muridae
Source: RNAcentral